Molecule: ribosomal RNA, 446 nt
Filed under: uncultured bacterium
Lineage: Bacteria
Description: bacterial SSU rRNA
Rfam family: Bacterial small subunit ribosomal RNA
Source: RNAcentral
UGCCAGACUCCUACGGGAGGCAGCAGUGGGGAAUAUUGCACAAUGGGGGAAACCCUGAUGCAGCAACGCCGCGUGAGUGAAGAAGUAUUUCGGUAUGUAAAGCUCUAUCAGCAGGGAAGAAGAUGACGGUACCUGAUUAAGAAGCCCCGGCUAACUACGUGCCAGCAGCCGCGGUAAUACGUAGGGGGCAAGCGUUAUCCGGAUUUACUGGGUGUAAAGGGAGCGCAGACGGCAGUGCAAGUCUGAAGUGAAAGCCCCGGGCUUAACCCGGGAACUGCUUUGGAAACUGUACGGCUGGAGUGCUGGAGAGGUAAGCGGAAUUCCUAGUGUAGCGGUGAAAUGCGUAGAUAUUAGGAGGAACACCAGUGGCGAAGGCGGCUUACUGGACAGUAACUGACGUUGAGGCUCGAAAGCGUGGGGAGCAAACAGGAUUAGAUCCCCUCGUA